AUUGAACGCUGGCGGCAUGCCUUACACAUGCAAGUCGAACGGCAGCGCGGGGGCAACCUGGCGGCGAGUGGCGAACGGGUGAGUAAUAUAUCGGAACGUACCCUGGAGUGGGGGAUAACGUAGCGAAAGUUACGCUAAUACCGCAUAUGAUCUAUGGAUGAAAGCAGGGGACCGCAAGGCCUUGUGCUCCUGGAGCGGCCGAUAUCUGAUUAGCUAGUUGGUGGGGUAAAGGCCUACCAAGGCAUCGAUCAGUAGCUGGUCUGAGAGGACGACCAGCCACACUGGAACUGAGACACGGUCCAGACUCCUACGGGAGGCAGCAGUGGGGAAUUUGGACAAUGGGCGCAAGCCUGAUCCAGCAAUGCCGCGUGAGUGAAGAAGGCCUCGG
RNAcentral lists this ribosomal RNA (388 nucleotides) under uncultured bacterium. RNAcentral describes it as "bacterial SSU rRNA". It matches the Rfam family "Bacterial small subunit ribosomal RNA", at positions 30 to 420 of the family's 1533-position model. The record is from RNAcentral.